This 31-nucleotide non-coding RNA is filed under the name Mus musculus (house mouse). The record is from RNAcentral. Lineage: Eukaryota; Metazoa; Chordata; Mammalia; Rodentia; Muridae.
UGGAAAGUAAAAGCCCUUUGGGUAUGGUUGC